Molecule: long non-coding RNA, 329 nt
Organism: Gossypium arboreum
Lineage: Eukaryota; Viridiplantae; Streptophyta; Magnoliopsida; Malvales; Malvaceae
Exons: 2
Source: RefSeq, a predicted model, not a curated record
AAAGGUACCUUUCUUGGCUGAUCCCUUUCGCGUUAUGGCGAGCUCGUUUGGGUUGGGCAUCGGCUAGAAGUGCUUGGAGCGCGGAUUAACUCCAGUCUCCUAUCAGGUGAGCCCUAGAAUUGGUGGACUUGGAGCUGGGCGGGAUUCAGAGUGGCCAUGAAGAUUGAUUGCCGAUUUUAAAUAAGUUUAGCUUUUAAUUUGGAUUAUUUUAUUUUUAUUAUGCUAAAAGUUGUAAUAAGGCCGCUCUUUUUAAUUGCUUUUAUUUGGGGAUUAUUAAACUCGUUAACACUAGGGUUCGUUUUAUAAAAUCUACUUGUUUUAAAAGAUCA